CCGUAGGUGAACCUGCGGAAGGAUCAUUACG
Molecule: ribosomal RNA, 31 nt
Filed under: Octaviania japonimontana
Lineage: Eukaryota; Fungi; Basidiomycota; Agaricomycetes; Boletales; Boletaceae
Description: partial 18S ribosomal RNA
Source: RNAcentral